AAUUGAAUUUAUUAAUAAUUUAUUUUUUAUUUAAUUUUUUAUAAAAGUAAUUUAUUUAUUUAAGGUUUUAGUAUUAAUUAAAAAUUAAUUUAUAGAUUUAUAGUUUAAUAGUAUUGUGAAAGAAUUAAUUAAUUUUAUAAAAGAAUUUUUUUUAGUACCUUUUGUAUCAGGGUUGAUUAAAAUUUUUAAUUUUUUUUUAAUUUCUCAAAUUUAUAGAGUUAAUUUUAUUAUUAAUUUAUUGUGUUAUAAAUAUUUAUAAAAUAAUAUUAGUUUUGAAAUUUAAUUCGUUAUAUUAUAUUUAGUUAUUUAAGAUUUAAAUUUAAUUUAAAAUUUUAAAAGUUAUAUUGAUUUUGUUGAUUUAUAUUUUAAAUUUAAAUUAUUUUAAGGAUAAGCUUGAAAUUUUAAUAUAAUAAUUUAUUUAUGUUAAUAAUUUAUAGGAAUAGAAAUUUUUAUUUUAAGUUUGUAAAAAUUUAUUAUUUAUUUAGUUUUAAUUUAUUAUAAUUUUAUUUAUUUUUUUUAUUAAAUUUUAUUAAUUAAUAUUUUAUUAAUAGUAAUAAUGAUUAAAUUAGUAUAAUUAAUAUUUAUAAAUUAUGAAUUCGGCAAAAAUUAUUUUCAUCUGUUUAACAAAAACAUUGUAUUAAGUUUAAUUUAAUAUAGGAUCUGCUCAAUGAUUUAUUAAAUAGCUGCAGUAUUUUGACUGUGCAAAGGUAGCAUAAUAAUUAGUCUUUUAAUUGGGGACUUGUAUGAAAGAUUUGAUGAGAAAUAAACUUUAUUAUUUAUAUAAUUAAAAUUUUAUUUUUAAGUAAAAAAGCUUAAAUUUUUUAAAGGGACGAUAAGACCCUAUAAAACUUUAUAAAUGAUAUAAUUGAUUUUUUUGGAUUUAUAAAUAUUUUAUUUUUAUUUUUUAUUUUAUUGGGGUGAUAAAAAAAAUUAAUUAACUUUUUUUAAAUUUUAACAUUAUUUAAUGAUUAUUUGAAUUAAAAUUUUUAAUUAAAGGAAAAAGUUACUUUAGGGAUAACAGCGUAAUUAGUUUUUUAAGUUCAAAUUUAAAAAUUAGUUUGCGACCUCGAUGUUGAAUUAAGAUUAAUCUUAGGUGCAAAAUUUUAAGUAUUAGGUCUGUUCGACCUUUAAAUUCUUACAUGAUUUGAGUUCAAACCGGUGUAAGCCAGGUUGGUUUCUAUCUUUUAAAAAAUAAAUUGUUUUAGUACGAAAGGAUUAAAUAAUUGAAUUAAAUUUUAUUAAAUGAAUUAAAUUAAUUUU
Molecule: ribosomal RNA, 1260 nt
Filed under: Pterocomma pilosum
Lineage: Eukaryota; Metazoa; Arthropoda; Insecta; Hemiptera; Aphididae
Description: 16S ribosomal RNA
Source: RNAcentral